This is a long non-coding RNA of Mus musculus (house mouse), 440 nucleotides long. RefSeq annotates it as predicted gene, 29865. The transcript has 4 exons. The record is from RefSeq and is a predicted model, not a curated record. NCBI's taxonomy places the organism in Eukaryota, Metazoa, Chordata, Mammalia, Rodentia, Muridae.
CCUGCGUGCACAGAUUUGAUGCCAGCGUUGUGGCUGUUCCUCCGUGUCUGUGAGAUUCGCUGUGACAAUGGAGUCAUCUUAAGUUCCUCUGUUUAUGUGAUGACCUGCACUGAGCUAACAAGCAUAAACGAAUAGCAUCUGCGCUCUCAGACCUGCUGCAUGGGCCACACAGGAGAGCUGAGGAUGCUUGUGGACCAAGAAUCCCUUUGCGGUUACGAAGGCUAUUUGCCAGCCUAUACUGUUGCUGCAUUUACGAAUACGUUGCCUAGCCUGACCUUGUGAACAGGGUUGCUUAAGAGAUCAACACUUCGGAGGGUUAUUGUCGUCACCAAGUAGAGCACUGUUGGUGUGUUUCAAGGAAUGUUUUGAACUUUGAGAUGACUCAGUUAGUUAAGGUACCUGGAACUGAUGUCUUGAAUUACACUCUUGCAGUCUCUGCG